RNAcentral lists this ribosomal RNA (253 nucleotides) under uncultured bacterium. Its description in RNAcentral is "partial 16S ribosomal RNA". It matches the Rfam family "Bacterial small subunit ribosomal RNA", at positions 524 to 776 of the family's 1533-position model. The record is from RNAcentral.
UACGAAGGGGGCUAGCGUUGUUCGGAUUUACUGGGCGUAAAGCGCACGUAGGCGGAUUGUUAAGUCAGGGGUGAAAUCCCGGAGCUCAACUCCGGAACUGCCUUUGAUACUGGCAAUCUUGAGGCUGGAAGAGGUUAGUGGAAUUCCCAGUGUAGAGGUGAAAUUCGUAGAUAUUGGGAAGAACACCAGUGGCGAAGGCGGCUAACUGGUCCAGAUCUGACGCUGAGGUGCGAAAGCGUUGGGAGCAAACAGG